UUCACGGCUUGGAGCAGAGGAGUUACCUGCCGCAUUCUUGGUUAUAAAAUGCCUUCCUGCUUCUCUGAAUUCCUCUCCGUGAUUUCCACAUGACAAUGAAAUUUCCAACGUUAAAUUAUCCAGUACUGUGGCUGUAUGAUCUCAAACACCUGCCGGUUUUCACUCCAAAGGUAACUGCAUUUCUGCAGUGGGUGAAUCACUUCCUAGAGAUGUGAGGUGUAUGGUAAAUCGCUUAGGAUCCUUGGAGAUGACAUAUGCAUAAGAUACUGCUGUUAAUGCACUACCACAGCUCAGAUAAUAAUUAUGUGAAGCAAAGCUCUCAAAAAGGAAAAUCUCUGUUUUGUUUUCCUGUUUGUUUUGGGGGUUUUGUCAUCUGCUCUCUAUCUCCCUCACCCUUUCACAGCAAAAACACAAGUUGAGCACCUCUGCAGAGUUAGACAUAUAGCUUCACCUUCAAACUGAAAAUUGGAAGUGUUUUUCCCUCCAAACAGCCCCUUCAAAAGCUUUUGAGCUUGAGGUCUCUUCCCUCAAAGAGGUUUCAGUGGGAGAAGUGACACUAAAACCCUUCCCCUCAUUGACAGUAAUUACAUCCUUUCACCUGCUUCUCCUCACUUACCUGGGCUCGUGGUGAAAACUCACUGCGACCACUCUAAGGAAAUUCUGUUAUGUGCUGACAUUUACCAGGUGACAACGAGGUCGGGUCAGGUGUUUGAUACCCCAGCCUUUGCAGGUAAUUAUCAGGUAGUGUUACAGGUAACUGAGGCUCAGCACAUUUCAAGGGGUUAUGAUGAAGCAGCUCUCUUACUUGUCUAAGCUUUUUCUCAAUAACAUUUUUAAAGGGGCAAGUGCAAUUUUAAUCCUAAUCCCAUGCUUCUCAUGGUCAAAUUUAGGGGUUAUUUCUUUUGCAAUUUAAAAAACCCACAUGAAGAUAAAUGAGUGGGUUUGUGAGCCCAGGAAGGUGAUACUCUGUAAUAUCUCUGAGUGGGAAAAAUAUUCUGUGAGGUUUUGAUAUUUGCCACCAGAUUUCUUCUCUGAUGUUAGCAGAUCAAUCCCCAUUCUCCAAAUCUUCUUAAAACCUCAAACGAGUGCUGCUUUCAACUCUUGAAAGAAAAAGCUACCCACUCUCUGUUUUUUCUUCUAUGUCCAGAAAAUAGUCCAACAGAAGCUUCUUAAAUCAACGAGAAGCUUCACUUGGGAUUAGAGUAUCAGCCUGUGGAUCUGACCAGACUGGAGUUAAAUUACAUUUCAAAACAACAUUUUAAAUACUACAAUCACCAUUUCUGAGUCUGUUCGCAUGGAUUCGAGGAAAGAAGAAGAAGAAGAAGGAAAAAAAAAAAAAAAGAGAGAAAAACUUUCGAAAUCAUGCUGGAAGCUUUGAAAGCGAUCCCGCAGGCAGGCUUUGCUGCCGUGCUUUGCAUUUGCCGGCCGGGUGCUGGGUGCCGAAACCAGAGGCUCACUGACACCCAGCGGCUGCCGCGGAGAGCGCAGCGCUCGCCCCGACGCCCCGGUGAUGGGCACGGCAAAAGUUUCUGCUGGCCUUCGGCAGGGCCCUCUGCUUUUGGUUGACCUGCCCUGGGUGCUUGAGAAGCAACGAGAGCUUGCUGCCUAAAGUCU
Long non-coding RNA from Oxyura jamaicensis (ruddy duck), 1614 nucleotides. RefSeq lists it as uncharacterized. The record is from RefSeq and is a predicted model, not a curated record. The transcript is spliced from 2 exons. NCBI's taxonomy places the organism in Eukaryota, Metazoa, Chordata, Aves, Anseriformes, Anatidae.